This 80-nucleotide transfer RNA is filed under the name Thelephora ganbajun. RNAcentral's name for it is "tRNA-Leu". It matches the Rfam family "tRNA". From Rfam's summary of the family: Transfer RNA (tRNA) molecules are approximately 80 nucleotides in length. Their secondary structure includes four short double-helical elements and three loops (D, anti-codon, and T loops). The record is from RNAcentral. Lineage: Eukaryota; Fungi; Basidiomycota; Agaricomycetes; Thelephorales; Thelephoraceae.
GCGAGUGUGCCGAAAUGGUAGCCGGGUGAAUCUUAGGAAUUCAUGAUUUUAUCGUAAGAGUUCAAGUCUCUUUACUCGUA